UACGGAGGGUGCGAGCGUUGUCCGGAAUCAUUGGGCGUAAAGGGCGCGUAGGUGGCCCGGUCAGUCCGUGGUGAAAGCGCGGGGCUCAACCCCGCGUCGGCCAUGGAUACUGCUGGGCUGGAGCACUGUAGAGGCAGGCGGAAUUCCGGGUGUAGCGGUGGAAUGCGUAGAUAUCGGGAGGAACACCUAUGGCGAAGGCAGCUCGCUGGGACGGCACUGACGCUGAGACGCGAAAGCGUGGGGAGCAAACAGG
This 253-nucleotide ribosomal RNA is filed under the name uncultured bacterium. Its description in RNAcentral is "partial 16S ribosomal RNA". It matches the Rfam family "Bacterial small subunit ribosomal RNA", at positions 524 to 776 of the family's 1533-position model. The record is from RNAcentral.